RNAcentral lists this transfer RNA (87 nucleotides) under Christensenellaceae bacterium. RNAcentral describes it as "tRNA-Leu". It matches the Rfam family "tRNA". Rfam says of the family: Transfer RNA (tRNA) molecules are approximately 80 nucleotides in length. Their secondary structure includes four short double-helical elements and three loops (D, anti-codon, and T loops). Lineage: Bacteria; Bacillati; Bacillota; Clostridia; Christensenellales; Christensenellaceae. The record is from RNAcentral.
CCCGAGGUGGUGAAAUUGGCAGACGCGUCGGACUCAAAAUCCGAUGAUAGCAAUAUCGUGUCGGUUCAAGUCCGACCCUCGGGACCA